This 253-nucleotide ribosomal RNA is filed under the name uncultured bacterium. RNAcentral describes it as "partial 16S ribosomal RNA". It matches the Rfam family "Bacterial small subunit ribosomal RNA", at positions 524 to 776 of the family's 1533-position model. The record is from RNAcentral.
UACGUAGGGCGCAAGCGUUGUCCGGAAUUAUUGGACGUAAAGAGCUCGUAGGCGGCCAGUUGCGUCUGCUGUGAAAUCCCGGGGCUCAACCCCGGGCGUGCAGUGGAUACGGGCUGGCUAGAGGCAGGCAGGGGAGAACGGAAUUCCCGGUGUAGCGGUGAAAUGCGCAGAUAUCGGGAGGAACACCGGUGGCGAAGGCGGUUCUCUGGGCCUGUACUGACGCUGAGGAGCGAAAGCGUGGGGAGCGAACAGG